RNAcentral lists this long non-coding RNA (1558 nucleotides) under Haliotis rubra (blacklip abalone). RNAcentral describes it as "uncharacterized LOC124285134". The record is from RNAcentral. Lineage: Eukaryota; Metazoa; Mollusca; Gastropoda; Lepetellida; Haliotidae.
UUCAGUUUGUCCAUAUUCUUAGACAUGGAGACAUAUUGGAUUUGGAUUCUUAUGGGAAUCGUAGUGUUGAAACUCUUAUUCUGGACGAUAUUUUGUUGGAAUCGGAGAUCAGGAGCUGCGGAUCUCAAUGACCGCGUGGUGAUUGUAGAACACGAGUACCCGCCGGACUGGUCUGGACCACAAAUGACACGUCAGUAUGACCAGCGUCACCCAUCCGCGUAUGAACAGACCUGCAAGCCAGGCCCGGGGCUCAGCCAACCCAUAACAGCACUGCCAAUUUAGUCCACGAGGCGCCAUCUUCAAACCAUGACAUACAUCAUAUAUAAUCUGGAGGCAUAGAUUGGGAUCAUAGCCUUUUUAUUUUACCACAAACUAUACUGAAUCAUAGUCAUGUGUCCACCCUAAUUCUCGUAAAGAAUUUGUAUUAAACCAGUAGAUAUUCUAGCUGCUUCGUGUUGUAUUUGUGCAACCUGAUAGGAAUCCAAAUCUGCAGUUAUCACUUACUUCAGAUGCAUAUUCUAAGACAACCUCUGUGUCGGCCAGCAGUGCAGCGCUAGCACAGCAUACAGAAAGAACCAGGCUGAUUUUAAGAUUAUUAUUAAUGGCAUUCAUUAUGAAAAACCCUUUGUUUUGGAGCUUAUUCAAAUACAAUAAUUGUAAAUUGGAUACUACAUUUUUGCUUUUGUUUAUCAGAGUUGUGGAAGUAAUUCCGUCUUGUUACACAAAAUUCUAUCCUGCCUUUAGGUUUCUCUUCAGGCCUACAAGUUCCUGUGCCAUCUGACUGGGAUCUGCAUCACGUCAUCAUGUGAUACCAUACCAUCAUGUAACUGGCCGCUUGUCACGCUGUAAUUCCUUGGUUAAAGUUAUUUAUAGUUCAGUCUUAUACUAUUAUUGACGAUUUACUAUCAGUAUUUUUAUGCUGGUUGCUGUUACGAAAACCCUGACUUUGGAGACCGAAAUUCAUGGAACGUUAACAUUAAUUUAUAUUUUUGGUCAUUUAAAAACAUAAUUGGAGAUAACUAGUCCCCUGGUUUACACACAAGAAAGAAAUGUUGGUUCCUUUCAAAUAGAAACAUGCAGCGCCUUGCAAUUCCUAUAUAUACCUAUAUUGUAUCUUACAAUUGAAUCGUCAUGUCUCAGUAACUGUUACCACAGUGUCCAAUAGUAGUAACACUGUCAAGCUGCUUUGCAUAUAACUUCCUGCAUUUGUGUAUUGUUUGUGUCAUGUCGUCCAUCAGCUUCUUUACCGUAAUAGACAUUUAUAGCAAGCCUGUCCAUAUUUUAAAGGGCAGUCUUAUAAAAGUAAUAUUCCGAGAUCAUGUAAAUCACGUAAUCCAUAUUUCGUCUUAAUUGUUAAGAUUUAGACUUAAGAUCAACUUUUGCCUUAAUCUGCAGUGCUCCUAUGCCCCUGUACCGGAGAUUUCUCCCUACCUCAAGACAAAGCUUUCUAUGAAAAGAGGUUGAGAUGUAGUUGAACGACAUUAACUUUUGUGCUGUUUACUUCUAUUUUGAUACGUGUUUUGUUACAAGCUUUCAAGUAAAGACAUAUUUUUAAGUA